GAUGAACGCUGGCGGCGUGCCUAAUACAUGCAAGUCGAGCGAACGGACGAGAAGCUUGCUUUUCUGAUGUUAGCGGCGGACGGGUGAGUAACACGUGGAUACCCUACCUAUAAGACUGGGAUCACUUCGGGAAACCGGAGCUAACACCGGAUAAUAUUUUGAACCGCAUGGUUCAAAAGUGAAAGACGGUCUUGCUGUCACUUAUAGCUGGAUCCGCGCUGCAUUAGCGAGUUGGUACGGUAACGGCUUACCAAGGCAACGAUGCAUAGCCGACGUGUGAGGGGGAUCGGCCACACUGGAACUGAGACGCGGUCCAGACUCCGACGGGAGGCAGCAGUAGGGAAUCGUGCGCAAUGGGCGAAAGCCUGACGGAUCAGCGCCGCGUGAGUGAUGAAGGUCUUCGGGUCGUAAAACUCUGUUAUUGGGGAAAAACAUAUGUGUAAGUAACGGUGCGCAUCUGGACGGUACCUAAACAGAAGGCCACGGCUAACUACGU
This 496-nucleotide ribosomal RNA is filed under the name uncultured bacterium. Its description in RNAcentral is "partial 16S ribosomal RNA". It matches the Rfam family "Bacterial small subunit ribosomal RNA", at positions 28 to 506 of the family's 1533-position model. The record is from RNAcentral.